RNAcentral lists this small RNA (1895 nucleotides) under Pongo abelii (Sumatran orangutan). RNAcentral's name for it is "processed transcript". Lineage: Eukaryota; Metazoa; Chordata; Mammalia; Primates; Hominidae. The record is from RNAcentral.
GAGAGACCAACCUUAACAGUUACCUUCAGUAAAAGCCACAGCUCUUCCCCCAGUUCAUAAGGAAGCUGGAAGCAGAUAUCUCUACAAAUAAGCAGGCAAAUAAUAAAUUAAGUUUCCGUAGUUUGACCCUUUACUUUGAUCCAGCCAAAAGUAAUUAGUUGGGUCUUCUGCCACGAGCUCUUCAUAAUAAUUGCUGCUGACCUAUGAGAUAUUCAAGAUUCUCUAGGAAUAGAUUUGUAUCCUUUCUCCCCAUUUGCAAGAAGAAUUUUUGAUGGAUGCUGACACCUUCAGAUCAUUCAGGCCAUCCUGAGAAUCCAUACAGCUGAUGGGCGGCGCCGGGCUUUUUCAACUUGUGGAGCCCAUGUAACCGUGGUCACCGUGUACUAUGUGCCCUGUGCCUUCAUCUACCUGAGGCCUGAAACCAACAGCCCCCUGGAUGGGGCAGCUGCCCUAUUCCCCACGGCCAUCACUCCUUUCCUCAACCCCCUUAUCUACACUCUGCGGAACCAAGAGGUGAAGCUGGCCCUGAAAAGAAUGCUCAGAAGCCCAAGAACUCCGAGUGAGGUUUGAAAGCUUUCUCCCACUUAGGGAAGCUGUCACAAGUAGAAUUUAUUAUAAUGUUUAGGCCUCAGUAACUUUUUUCUUUUCUUCUUGCUUUUUCUCUUUUAUAUAGCCAUAUUGUAUGAUCAAACACAGUUUAAGGUAAAAUACUAACUUUCUAACAGUUCCUUAGUAUCCUCUCAAGAUAACUCUCAGCCACUACAAGAGUAGAGAAUGAGACCAAAUUCUCACAAACUAAACCACAUUAAACAAUCCAGAAGAAAGAAUGCAAUAGUGUAUUUUCCAAUGUCUCAGUAAUAAAUUCUCCCACACCAAAAUGUAGAGUUCAAUAUGAUAUUUCCCAAUAUGAUAUUUGAUAUUUAAUAUUGAGUGGCAACUUGAUUGGAUUGAAGGAUACAAAGUAUUGAUCCUGGGUGUGCCUGUGAGGGUGUUGCCAAAAGCGAUUAAGAUUUGAGGGCUGGGAAAGGCAGAUCCACCCUUAAUCUGAGUAGGCGCAACCUAAUCAGCUGCCGGCGAGGCUAGAAUACAAGCAGGUAGAAAAAUGUGAAAAGAAAGACUGGCCUAGCCUCCCAGCCUACAUGUUUCUCUUGCGCUGGAAGCAUCCUACCCUCAAACAUAAAACUCCAAGUUCUUCAGUUUUGGAACUUGGACCGGCUCUCCUUGCUCCUCAGCCUGCAGACAGCCUAUUAUGGGACCUUGUGAUCAUGUGAGUGAACACUUAAUAAACUCCCCUUCAUAUAUAUAUAUAUAUAUAUAUAUAUAUAAAAAAAAAAAAAAAAAAAAAAAAAAAAAAUAUAUAAAUAUAUAUAAAAUAUAUAUUUUUUUUUUUCCAUUAGUUCUGUCCCACUAGAGAACCCUGACUAACACCAGGCGCGGUGGCUCACGCUUGUAAUCCCAGCACUUUGGGAUGCUGAGGUGGGUGGAUCACGAGGUCAGGAGAUCAAGACCACGGUGAAACCCCGUGUCUACUAAAAAUACAAAAAAAUUAGCCGGGCGUGGUGGCGGGCACCUGUAGUCCCAGCUACUCAGAGAGGCUGAGGCAGGAGAAUGGCGUGAACUGGGGAGGCGGAGGUUGAACUGAGCCGAGAUCGCGCCACUGCACUCCAUCCUGGGUGACAGAGUGAGACUCCAUCUCAAAAAAAAAAAAAAUAAAAAAAAAGAGAACCCUGACUAACACAGGGGUGAAAGAUAACAGACUACAUAUUGGGUACAGUGUACACUGCUUGGGUUACGGGUGCACCAAAAUCUCAUAAAUCACCGCUAAAGAACUUAUCCAUGUAACCAAAAACCACCUGUACUCCAAAAACUAUUGAAAUAAAAUUUUCUUAAAAAGC